GUUAGCGGGAGAGGCAGAGAUAUUCAGAGGUCUUUUAGGAUGCGCUAAAGGGUCGUGAGGGCUCUCUUAAAAUUUUCUUCACAAGCGGUUAUCCAGUCGUGCCCCGCGGCCCUGCUGCUGGCCCCGGGGAUCUGAGUCGUACCCUCUUGUUUUUCUCUGAGUCAGUCUUAAGGUGAAAUGAAGUGUGGCCCAGUGGCUCCUCACUGUCGCUUCUCUAGUUUUCUGCCUCCUUUUAGAAAAU
RNAcentral lists this unclassified non-coding RNA (241 nucleotides) under Homo sapiens (human). Its description in RNAcentral is "GIHCG inhibitor of miR-200b/200a/429 expression (ENSG00000262349.2)". The record is from RNAcentral. Lineage: Eukaryota; Metazoa; Chordata; Mammalia; Primates; Hominidae.